UCCUACGGGAGGCAGCAGUGGGGAAUAUUGGACAAUGGACCAAAAGUCUGAUCCAGCAAUUCUGUGUGCACGAUGAAGGUCUUCGGAUCGUAAAGUGCUUUCAGGUGGGAAGAAAAAAAUGACGGUACCACCAGAAGAAGCGACGGCUAAAUACGUGCCAGCAGCCGCGGUAAUACGUAUGUCGCAAGCGUUAUCCGGAAUUAUUGGGCGUAAAGCGCGUCUAGGCGGCCUUUUAAGUCUGAUGUGAAAAUGCGGGGCUCAACUCCGUAUUGCGUUGGAAACUGGAAGGCUAGAGUAUCAGAGAGGUGGGCGGAACUACAAGUGUAGAGGUGAAAUUCGUAGAUAUUUGUAGGAAUGCCGAUUGGGAAGCCAGCUCACUGGAUGAAUACUGACGCUGAAGCGCGAAAGCGUGGGGAGCAAACGGGAUUAGAUACCCCGGUAGUCCACGCCGUAAACGAUGAUCACUAAGUGUGGGGGGUCGAACCUCCGUGCUCAAGCUAACGCGAUAAGUGAUCCGCCUGGGGAGUACGCACGCAAGUGUGAAACUCAAAGG
RNAcentral lists this ribosomal RNA (553 nucleotides) under uncultured bacterium. Its description in RNAcentral is "bacterial SSU rRNA". It matches the Rfam family "Bacterial small subunit ribosomal RNA", at positions 337 to 907 of the family's 1533-position model. The record is from RNAcentral.